This 329-nucleotide ribosomal RNA is filed under the name Lepidurus packardi. RNAcentral describes it as "partial 12S ribosomal RNA". The record is from RNAcentral. Lineage: Eukaryota; Metazoa; Arthropoda; Branchiopoda; Notostraca; Triopsidae.
GGGUAGUAGUAAUAUNUUUAAAACCUAAAGAAUUNGGCGGUACUUCAUUCUUACUAGAGGAACCUGCUCUUGUAUCGAUAUUCCACGAUUAAAUUUACAUAUUUUUGUUUUCAGUUUGUAUACCGCCGUUGUCAGAUUAUUUUUAAAAAAUAUUAUCUAAUUAGCUUAUUGUUGCGACAUCAGGUCAAGGUGCAGCCUAUAAAUAUGGGAGUAGUGGGUUACAAUAAAAUUAAGUUAUCACGGAUUAAUGGUUAUAUAAUUAUUAUUAAGGUGGAUUUAGUAGUAAAUUGAAAAUAAAUUGUUUAUAUGAAAUAAGCUCUGAAGUGUGU